RNAcentral lists this long non-coding RNA (3059 nucleotides) under Triticum aestivum (bread wheat). RNAcentral's name for it is "long non-coding RNA (TAES_LNC002452)". The record is from RNAcentral. Lineage: Eukaryota; Viridiplantae; Streptophyta; Magnoliopsida; Poales; Poaceae.
AAUCAUGAUAGAAGUAAAACACAUGGAGCUCAAUAUCGACAUCAGAUUAUAAGGCAGGAUCAAGCCCAGUGCGUUCAUAGGACCACAAAAGCUAGCCACUCGACAUGAAGUUCGAUACCAGAAGCGAGAAUACAUAAGAGGUAAUAAGAACAGAAACAUAAUAAAGGAGAGUCAAUUAUGGAGGCAUAACCACUAAGCAUAUUAAUAAGUGGCGUAAUUCAUCUGCCUUAUCAAUGUACUUCAUAGGAACCACCUCACAUGAACAUGACACAAAAAAACUGUGAGAGGUUGCCGAUGGAGCAGCGACAGGGGAGCCAAUCAUUGAGAACCUCCAUAAUGUGUUGCGAUGCUUGCCAUCCUGUAUAGCCACCUCUUUCUUCAUAUUUCGGAGCCUCUUAGCAUAUAUAAAUGGUAUAGAUGCCCUGUCAAGGAAAAUAUAUCAAUACAGACUGUGUUUCUUAUUUGUAUUGUGGGGUCAACGGAGGAAAAAGGAUGAUGUACGACUAUAAAACACAACCCUACAACCUGAUGGUCAACCAACUAUACUACUCAACUAAAUCAGAGAGGGAUCUCCUCGGCAUAAAGAAUAAAUCUGACAUGUUAGAUAUCUGAAUAGUAGCUACAGGCUCAAGUUUGACACAAUCGAAGAAGAAAUGGGGAGGAAGAGCGAGUUAUACCUGCUUGAGCCAGCCCCUCCUCUUGGAGAGGACGAUGGUCCCGCCGGCCUGGUGGCACUACUUAUCCGCGCUGAGGAGCGACAUGAUCGCCGCACCGAGGCUGCUGCCCUCCUGCAUCAACACAAACCAAAUCUCUCUUUUAUAUCAGUAAUACCAAUAGAUAGCAUUUUCUGUCAUCCAAGGAUCGUGCAUUUUCUGUCGUCAUCUAGCAUCACCCUUGGAAAAAAGUGAAAGGGUAUCGAUCAAGACUCAUAAAGUCAACAAAUAGCGAGUGGCCCUCCCCACGCCCCGUCCUCCCCUCCGCCGCCGCAGGUUGUCAGCGCCGGGCAAAGCCCAUGCGUGCGACGCGGUGGCGGAGGGCCUCUCCCCUCUCCCCCGGAUCCAUGGGUGGCGCGGGCCCCCAGAUCCGCGGAGGUGCACCCCCCACUUCGGCCCACGACGGCGCGGCGUCCCAGCGGCGGCGGCUGUGGUGGUGCCGGUGGGAAUCGGCCGGAUGCACAGGGGGCGGCGGCCCCAUGGCUGGGUGGCAGCGUGCCCGUUGGUCAGACCGGUUCCGGCUCGUCCCGGAUCUGGUGACCACCGGACGGCACGGGGGGUGGCUGUAAUUAUCUAAAAGUUAAAUUGUACAAGAUGAGCAUAUAUACGCAACAUCGAAUUAAAUAAUGGAACUAAUUAUGAAUUACUAUAAUGAGAUGCAAUUCCCUGAGUAGGCAAUGCAUACGAAUGGAACAUAAUUGCUGCCAUUUAUUUUCGGCUUAGGCUUAUCCAGAAACACAGACUAAAAUCACUUGAUCUACACACGGGCAAUAGCUUCUUUUCUUUACUAUAACCAGUUAACACAUACUCCCUCCAUCCCAAAAUAAAUGUCUUUGAUUUAGUACCGAAUCAAAGAUACUUAUUUCGAUUUAGUACAACUUUGCACUAAAGUUGUAACUUUGCACUAAACUUGUACUAAAUCAAAGAUAAUUAUUUUGGGACUGAGCCAAUAAUAGGCCUGGCAUAUUAUUGUGUCAUCUUUUUGGGGAUACCAGCGUUUCUACCAUACUAUUACGACAAAAAAAACAUGCCAUAGAAAAUGUAGCCUCCAACAACAUGAGCCAUCACAAGGAUCAGGCACCUUUUCACACAUCAUUCUGGCCAUAUUAACCACAGCUAGUAUCAAUUUCAUGCACCUUGACCAGAUAUGUGCACUACAACCAAUGUAACUGAAAAUGAAGCACAAAGAGACACCUAAUUUUCCGAGGUGGCAUUACCUUGUUCUGCAAACUAUAAUGGUCAGUCUAGUUUGAGAAGUGUUCAAGAUUGUUCUGUAAACUCAUGCAAGCCUUCCUACUCCACUGAAGUAUUAGGAAGUUUUGAGGAUCACCGCGUAAAAAACUUCUCCAUGUUAAUAUGUUAUUCUCUAGGCUCCUAGUUAAAAAGCUGUCUCAAGUAUCUUAGCAUGAUCCAAAAUGUCUGAAUAAAAUAUUUCUCAAACUGGGAACAAGAAAACAAGGUUUGAUUACGACAAAACAUUCACCAACAUAGACACAAAGUGCUCCCACUGGGAUAUAUUGGUAUGGAACAACAAGUUUCAGCUUGAAAAAAAAACAUAACAUCAGCAAAACAGCUAUGUGGUGAUAUUCACUUUUAGGCAUGCCAUGCAAAAGGAUAACCUACAUCUUGAUAAUCGAUUGAAUAGAUAAACUACGUGGUACUAAAGUUACAAUAGAAAGGGUAAAAGGAAACGUAUAAAAUCCUAAUCAACUAAUUCACAUUGUGGCCAUGCUAUGAGUGGAGGUGCAUGUACGAUACUUCCAGGAGAAAUGAGCACACAGGAAAUAUAAUGAAAUUCAGGGACAUAUAUAAAUCAUCGUACAGAACCCUGACUUCCAGUCAAUCAACACAAAAUUCAUAUACACUAAAAUGUCACUAUACUUGCAAAGGGAGACAAAGCACCAUUAGAAUCACAUAAAGAGCUCACCUCAGAGACCAUCAGUACCUUGCACGACAACAUGCUGCAUCCUACACCAUGUUGUGGAAGGAGAAACCAGCGAGUAAGGCCCGUUUCGGAAGGUACUCAAUCCCCACUCCAGUCCAUUAUAUUUAUCCAGUGAGUGACCUCCUAUAUGGCUCACAAUUAUGGUCACGAUCUAUAAAAAUGUAAGCCAUCAGUAGAAGUAGUUGACAGUAAACUGUAAGCAUUAAUCAGAGAACUAUUCUCGGCCGGUCCAACUAAACGCAUGUUUUAUCAAUGUAAAAACAGAAACACAUUUUCCGUAUAUCAUCACGUAGACACACACCAUAAUCAUGAGGUAGUAGUGAUGGCUUGUUCCGAAAGGCGGGAAAACAUAAACAAAAGCAAGUAUUUACGCUAGCAAAACUACAUGGCAAUGAAAGCAG